AGAGUUUGAUCAUGGCUCAGGAUGAACGCUAGCUACAGGCUUAACACAUGCAAGUCGAGGGGCAGCAUGUUGGUUGCUUGCAACCAAUGAUGGCGACCGGCGCACGGGUGAGUAACGCGUAUCCAACCUACCCUUGUCCAUCGGAUAACCCGGUCGAAAGGCGGCCUAACACGAUAUGCGGUUCUCAGCAGGCAUCUAACGAGAACGAAAUGUGAAGGAGAAGGAUGGGGAUGCGUCUGAUUAGCUUGUUGGCGGGGUAACGCCACAAGGCGACGAUCAGUAGGGUUCUGAGAGGAACGGUCCCCCANAUUGGAACUGAGACACGGUCCAAACUCCGUAGGGAGCA
RNAcentral lists this ribosomal RNA (346 nucleotides) under uncultured bacterium. RNAcentral's name for it is "bacterial SSU rRNA". It matches the Rfam family "Bacterial small subunit ribosomal RNA", at positions 8 to 349 of the family's 1533-position model. The record is from RNAcentral.